GGGCGAAUAGCUCAGUGGUAGAGCACCUGCUUUACACGCAGGGGGUCGUAGGUUCGAUACCUACUUCGCCCACCA
This 75-nucleotide transfer RNA is filed under the name Bacillota bacterium. RNAcentral's name for it is "tRNA-Val". It matches the Rfam family "tRNA". From Rfam's summary of the family: Transfer RNA (tRNA) molecules are approximately 80 nucleotides in length. Their secondary structure includes four short double-helical elements and three loops (D, anti-codon, and T loops). Further hydrogen bonds mediate the characteristic L-shaped molecular structure. tRNAs have two regions of fundamental functional importance: the anti-codon, which is responsible for specific mRNA codon recognition, and the 3' end, to which the tRNAs corresponding amino acid is attached (by aminoacyl-tRNA synthetases). tRNAs cope with the degeneracy of the genetic code in two manners: having more than one tRNA (with a specific anti-codon) for a particular amino acid; and 'wobble' base-pairing, i.e. permitting non-standard base-pairing at the 3rd anti-codon position. The record is from RNAcentral. Lineage: Bacteria; Bacillati; Bacillota.